RNAcentral lists this ribosomal RNA (777 nucleotides) under uncultured Neocallimastigales. RNAcentral describes it as "partial large subunit ribosomal RNA". It matches the Rfam family "Eukaryotic large subunit ribosomal RNA", at positions 24 to 635 of the family's 3401-position model. Lineage: Eukaryota; Fungi; Neocallimastigomycota; Neocallimastigomycetes; Neocallimastigales. The record is from RNAcentral.
GUAGUCUCGCACAGAUGCAUAUCAAUAAGCGGAGGAAAAGAAACUAACAAGGAUUCCCCUAGUAACGGCGAGUGAAGCGGGAAGAGCUCAAAUUUGAAAUCUUAAAGGGUUUCCCUUUACGAAUUGUAGUUUAAAGAAGUGUUUUUCUGUUGAGGUUUUGGUAAAAGUUCUUUGGAAUAGGACAUCAUAGAGGGUGAGAAUCCCGUAUUUGACCCUUACUUUCAACUUUGUGAUACACUUUCAAAGAGUCGGAUUGUUUGGGAAUGCAGUCCAAAAUGGGUGGUAAAUUUCAUCUAAAGCUAAAUAUUGGCGAGAGACCGAUAGCGAACAAGUACCGUGAGGGAAAGAUGAAAAGAACUUUGAAAAGAGAGUUAAAGCAGUACGUGAAAUUGUCAAAAGGGAAGCGUUUGACACCAGUGUUGUUUUUCUGAAAAUCAAUUAAAGAACUGUUUAUGCUAAGUUGUUUAGACUUUAUCAGCUAUCUGUUUAGUUUUGAGCUUUUCUUUAAUGCACUUUUCAGUUAACAAGUCGACAUCAAUUUCUUUUGCCUGUAAAAAAGCUUGAGGAAGGUGGCUUGAGAUUCGUCUUAAGUGUUUAUAGCCUCUUGCCUAUGCAGUCGGAGAGAUUGAGGUCUGCAGCGUAGAUCCUUCGGGGCUAAAUGCAUUUGUGCUAAGUUAUAGCAUUUUAUAGACAACUUGUUGACUAUGAUUUGUCUUGUAGCUUACUCGCUUAUGUUAUUUUACCUACGCUUAGGAUGUUGAUCUGUAGUGCGUGCGC